AUACGGAGGGUGCGAGCGUUAAUCGGAAUUACUGGGCGUAAAGCGCGCGUAGGCGGUUUGUUAAGUCGGAUGUGAAAUCCCCGGGCUCAACCUGGGACCUGCAUCCGAUACUGGCAGGCUCGAGUCCGGUAGAGGGGGGUAGAAUUCCUGGUGUAGCGGUGAAAUGCGUAGAUAUCAGGAGGAAUACCAGUGGCGAAGGCGGCCCCCUGGACUGAGACUGACGCUGAGGUGCGAAAGCGUGGGGAGCAAACAGGAUUAGAAACCCUAGUAGUCC
This 274-nucleotide ribosomal RNA is filed under the name uncultured bacterium. RNAcentral's name for it is "partial 16S ribosomal RNA". It matches the Rfam family "Bacterial small subunit ribosomal RNA", at positions 523 to 796 of the family's 1533-position model. The record is from RNAcentral.